CCUACGGGUGGCAGCAGUGAGGAAUAUUGGUCAAUGGGCGCGAGCCUGAACCAGCCAAGUAGCGUGAAGGAUGACUGCCCUACGGGUUGUAAACUUCUUUUAUAAAGGAAUAAAGUGGUCCACGUGUGCCAUUUUGUAUGUACGUUAUGAAUAAGGAUCGGCUAACUCCGUGCCAGCAGCCGCGGUAAUACGGAGGAUCCGAGCGUUAUCCGGAUUUAUUGGGUUUAAAGGGAGCGUAGAUGGGUUGUUAAGUCGGGUGUGAAAGUUUGCGGCUCAACCGUAAAAUUGCAAUUGAUACUGGCAGUCUUGAGUACAGUUGAGGUAGGCGGAAUUCGUGGUGUAGCGGUGAAAUGCUUAGAUAUCACGAAGAACUCCGAUUGCGAAGGCAGCUCACUAAACUGCCACUGACACUGAUGCUCGAAAGUGUGGGUAUCAAACAGGAUUAGAUACCCUAGUAGUC
Molecule: ribosomal RNA, 460 nt
Filed under: uncultured bacterium
Lineage: Bacteria
Description: partial 16S ribosomal RNA
Rfam family: Bacterial small subunit ribosomal RNA
Source: RNAcentral